RNAcentral lists this long non-coding RNA (1713 nucleotides) under Marmota monax (woodchuck). The record is from RNAcentral. Lineage: Eukaryota; Metazoa; Chordata; Mammalia; Rodentia; Sciuridae.
UCAGGAGGACUGUUCUGGUCUCAGGUCCUCUGCUGUGUGUGAUUCUCUCUCUCUGCUCAGUCCUGGGAUGCACCCAGAGGCACCUGCAUGUGCACCCCAUGUUCUGUGUUCAACCCUGGACAAUGCUGUGAGAAUUCUCUGAUUUGAGAACAAAUCAGAAUAAAGCAACUUAACCCUCGAGAUCUUCAAUGGAUUCUCUAACCCCUCUCUUUCAGCAUGAAGGCCAAGAAGUUAAUGGGCUAGAGUUGCAGCCAUUGGUUCCUGGCAGCCAGCCUGGGUGUGCUGCCUCUGUGGGCUCCACGUACCAGGCUCUGUGCCCUCAGGCUUGACACAGGGCAGGUGGGGCCAAGGAACUUCAAAGCCCAGAGUCUGAUGCAACUAAUACAGACCCCUGAAGGCACUGGCCACCGUAAGCUGAGCACUUGAGAUGUUGCCAUUGUGACCGAGAGACUGAUUUUUAAAAUUUUAUUUAAUCUUAAAAAAUCUAAAAAAAAAACUAAUUCACUUAUCAGAAAAUGUUGACAAAUAUAAAUCUAUUUCUCCAAAUACCGAUUUCAGGACAUCUAAAUGCCGAUUGAAUAUUUCUGAUAAAAACGUAGUGUCUAAAUUGAGACUUUCUGUAAGUACAAAUGACAUAUGAGAUUUCAAAGGCCUGGUUUGUAAAAAAGAAGGCGAAAUAACUCACUAGUCAUUUUUUUAUGUUGAUUCCAUGUUGAAAUGAUCAUAUUUUGGAUAUACUGGGUUAAAUCAAAAGUGUUAUUUGAAUUGACAGCACUCAUUGUUUCUCGCUUAUUUCAAAUGUGACUUUUAGAGAACUGAAAAUGAUCUAUGUGGUUUGUGUUGUCUGGCUAUCAAAUUGCACUAACAUAAAACCAUAGCUCCGAUCUCUCUGAUAGAGUCUUGCCUGACAAUCUGAACCACCCAAGGCUACCACGUCUAGAAGAGCCACAUCUCCAGGGAGAGAAUAAAAUACCUGGUUGCGCUCAUUUAUCACUACAAUCUAAUAACACAGAGGAGAAGCCCCUGGGAUACAACCAGAGGGAAUUUCAAUUACAUCUCUAACCAAGGGGCACAUGGCAGAGUGCUUAAUAAUCAGCCCUUAAUCAGCCACCUCUAGACUCAGAUGGUACCUCCAGCCUGGUUCUCAGACAGGGAGACUUAGAGCUGGGGUUCUCAGAGGAGAAGAGGGAGGUGCAGGGUUUGGAUUCAUAAUGGUGCGUUAGAAUUAGAACCAGGUCUCAGAAAUGGCAGAGAACUGAGCUUUUACUUGAUGCUCAAAUGGGAGGAGUAGGAGAAGAGGUGACAAUGAUUGAAAUAAAUAAUGGCCCAGGAUGUAUGGCACUGUUCCAAAUGCUUUGCAGGUCUUAGAUGUGUCAACAGGAAAGUCACUCACGGUAAGUGUUUGUACAGUACCCUUAGUUUCUUAAGCAGUGAUCAACAGAUCCAGGACCGUAAAACCCCAACUCUUGUCACCCAUAAUGCAGCCAAGUCGAAGGUGUGACUUGCACCCUUAGCAGAGCUCACAGGAGAGAACAGGCCAGAGUCCAUGUUGGAGGUUUGCUUGACACUGCAUCCUUGCAGGGCCUCCUGCCCCUACCAUGCCCACUCCUCCACACCCCAUGGGUUACUCCUGGGAACCCCUCUUCGCAAGUCACUUCACAGGACUCUUCCCCUCAGAUCUGUUUCAAGGUGGCUGCCCAACCUACGUACGAC